RNAcentral lists this ribosomal RNA (541 nucleotides) under Nasutitermes sp. ENT-MG149. RNAcentral's name for it is "partial small subunit ribosomal RNA". It matches the Rfam family "Bacterial large subunit ribosomal RNA", at positions 1798 to 2608 of the family's 2925-position model. The record is from RNAcentral. Lineage: Eukaryota; Metazoa; Arthropoda; Insecta; Blattodea; Termitidae.
GCCYGUUUUUCAAAAACAUCUUUUCUUGUUAGUUUUUGAAGUAUGGCCUGCCCACUGAUUUUAUUUGAAGGGCCGCGGUAUUUUGACCGUGCAAAGGUAGCAUAAUCAUUAGUUCUUUAAUUGUGAUCUGGUAUGAAUGGUUUGACGAGGCAUUUACUGUCUUAAAAGUAUUGUUUAUUGAAUUUGGAUUUUGAGUUAAAAUUCUUAAAUGUUUUUAUGGGACGAGAAGACCCUAUAGAGUUUAACAUCUUUCUUGUUUAUUAUGUAUUUGUUUUUGUUUAUAUUGAGUUUGGAAUUUGUUUUGUUGGGGUGAUGGGAGGAAUAGUAUAACUCCUCUUUAUUUUAUAUAUUUAUUUAUAUUUUUUUGAUCCAUUUAUUUUGAUUAUAAGAUUAAAUUACCUUAGGGAUAACAGCGUUAUCUUCCUUGAGAGUUCUUAUUGGCGGGAAGGUUUGCGACCUCGAUGUUGGAUUAAGGUGAAUUUUCGGUGCAGAAGCUGAAAUGAUUAGGUCUGUUCGACCUUUAAAAUCUUACGUGAUCUGA